This is a long non-coding RNA of Aethalodelphis obliquidens (Pacific white-sided dolphin), 3274 nucleotides long. RefSeq lists it as uncharacterized. The transcript is spliced from 8 exons. Lineage: Eukaryota; Metazoa; Chordata; Mammalia; Artiodactyla; Delphinidae. The record is from RefSeq and is a predicted model, not a curated record.
UCAGGAAACUAAGAUCCCGCAAGCAUGCAGGGCGUGGCCAAAGGAAAAAAAAAAAGUGAAAGUAAAGCUUCUCUGAGACAAGGAUUAAAAAUUCUAAGAUCUUCCAGAAAGAAAGCAGAUCACAUACAAAGGAACAUGAAUCUUGAAAUGAGAACUGCAAAUUGAGCAAUGAGAUACCACUUUACAGUGAUAAAAUGAACAAAAAAUUGCAAGGCUUGGUGAUUCCAAGUGUCGGUCAGACAAUUUCACACAGGGAAAGAUAAACUUUUUUGUGCUUCUGACGGGAAGGUGAGCUGUCACAGCCAUUCUGGAAACCAGUCUGUGGCUCCGUCGUGAAACUGAGAAGAAUACAUAUUCUCUACUACACGAUUCCCUCUCUAGUCAUAUGCCCCAGAGAGACUCUUGCACAGGUCUAUAGAGAUGGCAUAGGAGAAUUAUGUUUUUUUGCAGUCGUUUGUGGUGGUAGGCAGUUGGAAGGGACUUUGUCUAUUGCAGUGAGAAUGAGUAAGUAAACCAAGGUGGACAUCUAGUAUGGAAUAUAUACUAUAAUGCAGUCACAAUUCAAUGAACUAGAUGUACCUAUGGUUUAACAUGGAUUGAGCUUUAAAACAUAGUGAAAAAGGGAAGAAAGUGAAUAAGAUUUAUGCAGUAUCAUUUGCAAUAUGAAAAAUAAGAAUACGUGUGUAAAAAACAUUAUCUUUCAGGGAUACAUACAGAUGCAAAGAUUAACUAUACACAUUAGAGUGGGCAGGGAAUGGGAGUGAGGAUGUGAUGGGGAAAAAGAGGCACAAUAGAAUAAGGUAAGAGACAGUGGUGCUCAGAGAGCAUGCCAACCUCUGUACCUCUGAUGAUGUGCUGUGAACUGAAAAAGUUUACAACCUUUUUUCUUACACAGCAAGGAAAAUAUAAUUUGUGCUUUUUGUAAGCCUAGGUGAAAUCAUAACUUAUGUGUUGUUCUGCUUGCCAAUUUAUUUUUUAAUUGUAUGUUCACUUGUUUAAUAUUUAACAAUUUUUAUGGAGCAUCCACUGCUCAACAUAUAUAUACCUGGUACAGUUCUAGGGCUCGAAGCACAGGGAAUACAGCUAUGAAUGACACGCCCACAGGAUAAAUACCUAGAAGAAGCAUUGGGUCAGAGGGUAAGCACAACUAAAAUUUAAUAGAUAUUGCUAAAUUGUCCUGAAAAUGUCUAUACCAACUGGUAUUUUUUAUUAGGUGAGGUAUUUUUGAUGUGGUAUUAAUAGGGGCACUUUCCAAUUAUUUGUUUCUCUAAAUGUGGAUGAAAGGGAGUGAGAGGAAGGGAGUUAGGAAGAAUCCUAAGGAAAGAUGGGAUUUGAGCCGUACAUUGUGUGUGAGCUGAGACAGCCCUGACAGAGCAAUGUCUGAUGUGUAUGAGAGGCACAUGCUCCCCAGGCCUCCUCAUCCCAGCCCAGCCUCUCCUGACCUGGGCAUUUCCCUCUUGGGUCAUUUGGCAGUGGGCUCUGACAUCAAGCACCUGCCAUGGCAGGGGGAGAGGAAAACCCAUCUCAUGAUUAUUCCUUACCCAUUGUUACCUUAGCAGGAGUGCAGCAUCUGUGCCGUGGGCCGGCACCCCUACCAGGCUUCCGAUGUGCUUUCCAUCCAACUGCCACAGCCCUAGAUGGCAACCCCUGGGCUCCACCCAGAGCUCGUGGCGGAAACAGGAUGUAAUGCUUCCAAGCGGGCAAGGAUUUUGCCUUCAUAAAUCUCCGGAAGAGCAUGAGACACCAAGCUCUACAUUCACGGAUGUCUCCAGACUCUAGGGGAAGCAUGUCAAGUACAUCAAGCUCUCCCAGGAGACACCUUACAACGCUCUACUUGGAUGGCAAUCCCAGGAUGGGACUGAAGAUUGUAAGGGUGGAGAACGAAAGAAGAAAAUACGUGUCGAGAGAACAAAUCGAGGUAGAAAGACCAUCUGCGGGGAAGAAAGAGAUGGUCUGCUGCUCUCUGUGCUUAAGGAGUAUGGAAUGGCUGGGAACUUCCCGAGGUGGAAGUGAGGUUCCAUCUUCUGAUACCACAGGAGGACAAACAUUUACAACUAAAACCCUUCCAACUGUCUGUCCAUCCAUCCACCCACCCAUCCACCCAACAGGUGUUAUUAUAUGUCUACUCUGAGACAGAGGACGUUGACGUUGACAGAGAAAGACCAAAGGAACUUUUGUGACUUCAUCCAAAUGUCAUAACAAAAGUGGAUUUACUUAUAUAUGGCUAUGUGUCAAGUGUUACUUCAUUUUGUGACCUCUUGAGGAUGCGUCCGGCUCUGAGAUUCUGCGACACUUGAGGUAUAUCUGAAAUUUGCAGGUAAGAGAGAGCCGUUAAAGUUUUCUGAGGAGGACAGCGACCUGAACUAAGCUGUGUUUUACAAACACUGUCCUGGCAGCAGUGUAAAGGAUGAGUCAAGGGAAGAAGUCGAGGGCAGAGAAACCAGGAACCCCACCUUAUCCCACUGUGAAGGAAUCAGAGGAAGAUUAUUUACUUCACUUGAGUCUAGUUGAAUAUUUACCAGGAUUAAUCCAGAUGGGAGAAGGCAGGUCCUGUCUCCUGGUUGGGAGUGGGGUUCUCCGCUUGUCUCCACAUAAAAUUUAAGAGCUAAGGAACGCAAUACUGAAAAAAGGACCAGGGGGAAAAUGAAUUAAUGAAGCCUCCCCAAGCUCUGAGUGAAGAAUACUAUCGAGGCCAUCUGUGGUCUGCCUGCCCAGUGCCCUUCGUCUCCACAGGGUCCAUCUCUUUCUGCGGGAAAAUCACAUCUCCCUGACCCUGAUCUUAUGGUUUGGACGGAGAGGGCACUACCUCCUGGCUCUGGUGGGAACUCAGUUUCAACCAAUAACACCACAUCCCUCCGGUCACAGUAACUAAUUCUGGGGCUGGCCCUUGACCAAUGCCAGAUCAGACAGAGGCAAGCCUGAGCCUCUUGCUCAAAUCCGUGGGAUUGCUAAACUGGCAGCACAUACGCCCAGAGCUUCUGGAAGUCAUCCUGCUACCACAGGAGAGGAGCCUGCCAGAGAAGAAAUCCAACAUAAAGGAAAGCAGAGCCAGGGAUGGAUACUAAUUCCUGAUGACACCAUAUGAGUAUCUGGAUCCAGCUGCACUUACAACCAGAACCACUUGGAUGUUUGUUAUCUAAACAAAUAAGUCUUUUGUUGUUGUUGUUAAGUCAGUAAUAACUUGAAUUCUAAGUAUUCUAUACCCAGAAAGGAAGAAUCUAUCUGUAUACAAAUUUAUAGCCUGGAGAAAUAAAAUGUCAGCCUCUUCUGUUAA